RNAcentral lists this ribosomal RNA (459 nucleotides) under uncultured bacterium. RNAcentral describes it as "partial 16S ribosomal RNA". It matches the Rfam family "Bacterial small subunit ribosomal RNA", at positions 338 to 795 of the family's 1533-position model. The record is from RNAcentral.
CCUACGGGAGGCAGCAGUGAGGAAUAUUGGUCAAUGGCCGAGAGGCUGAACCAGCCAAGUAGCGUGAGGGAAGAAUGUCCUAUGGAUUGUAAACCUCUUUUGUCAGGGAGCAAAGUCACCCACGUGUGGGUGUUGGAGAGUACCUGAAGAAAAAGCAUCGGCUAACUCCGUGCCAGCAGCCGCGGUAAUACGGAGGAUGCGAGCGUUAUCCGGAUUUAUUGGGUUUAAAGGGUGCGUAGGCGGGUUACCACGUCAGCGGUAAAAUCGUGGGGCUCAACUCGAUGCAGCCGUGGAAACUGAUGGUCUUGAGUGCGCGAGAAGUAGGCGGAAUGCGUGGUGUAGCGGUGAAAUGCAUAGAUAUCACGCAGAACUCCGAUUGCGAAGGCAGCAUGCCGGCGCCCGACUGACGCUGAGGCACGAAAGCGUGGGUAUCGAACAGGAUUAGAUACCCCGGUAGUC